CCUACGGGUGGCAGCAGUGAGGAAUAUUGGUCAAUGGGCGUGAGCCUGAACCAGCCAAGUAGCGUGAAGGAUGACUGCCCUACGGGUUGUAAACUUCUUUUAUAAAGGAAUAAAGUGAGGCACGUGUGCCCUUUUGUAUGUACUUUAUGAAUAAGGAUCGGCUAACCCCGUGCCCGCAGCCGCGGUAAUUCGGAGGAUCCGAGCGUUAUCCGGAUUUAUUGGGUUUAAAGGGAGCGUAGAUGGGUUGUUAAGUCAGUUGUGAAAGUUUGCGGCUCAACCGUAAAAUUGCAAUUGAUACUGGCAGUCGGGAGUGCGGUUGAGGUAGGCGGAAUUCGUGGUGUAGCGGUGAAAUGCUUAGAUAUCACGAAGAACUCCGAUUGCGAAGGCAGCUUACUAGACUGCAACUGACAUUGAUGCUCGAAAGUGUGGGUAUCGAACAGGAUUAGAUACCCCGGUAGUC
RNAcentral lists this ribosomal RNA (460 nucleotides) under uncultured bacterium. RNAcentral describes it as "partial 16S ribosomal RNA". It matches the Rfam family "Bacterial small subunit ribosomal RNA", at positions 338 to 795 of the family's 1533-position model. The record is from RNAcentral.